This 62-nucleotide transfer RNA is filed under the name Muscina stabulans. Its description in RNAcentral is "tRNA-Cys". Lineage: Eukaryota; Metazoa; Arthropoda; Insecta; Diptera; Muscidae. The record is from RNAcentral.
AAACUUCAGUGGAACCACUCCUUUAGAAUUGCAGUCUAAUAUCAUUAAUUGACUAUAAAGUU